Molecule: small nucleolar RNA, 107 nt
Organism: Gossypium raimondii (Peruvian cotton)
Lineage: Eukaryota; Viridiplantae; Streptophyta; Magnoliopsida; Malvales; Malvaceae
Rfam family: Plant small nucleolar RNA R71
About the family: R71 is a member of the C/D box family of snoRNAs containing the C (UGAUGA) and D (CUGA) box motifs. Multiple nearly identical copies of this snoRNA have been identified in Arabidopsis, and it is thought to function as a 2'-O-ribose methylation guide for 18S ribosomal RNA.
Source: Rfam
AAUCCAUGCUUCGGACAUUUUCGAAUUAAAUCUUUAAAUCGUUCCCAAGCUUCAUAUAAUGUUUAAUCCUCCAAUUGCUAAAAAGAUGUGAUGCCAUUUCUAAGCUU